GGAGCAUGAGGGGCCUCAGAGAGCUCUGCAGGGGAGGGGCCAAAUUCCAUCAGGGAAGGAGCUGCAGCAAAGCAAUAAACAAGCCCCAGCUUGGAGCGCAGUGUUUCCCAAACAGUCGCAAGCAGAACAUUGGGUAGUGUGGAGGAUAAUCUAUGUGGUCCCAGGAUAAUUUUGAGACAUGUCAAUAGUCAUAUAUUUAUGUUUAUAGGUACCUUUUGUUUCUGACAAGUGAUAUAGGUUUUCCUUUUGUUGUUGUGUUUUGGUGCUUCUUUUUGAAAGAUGUUUAUUCAAGUAAAACAGUGGGAAUCGAUGUAAAGAAAAUAUUGCUUAUGUAAAAGUACAGGAGGGAGACACAUAUGGUAAAAAUCAUGCAGGCGACCAAAGCUUGGGAGACACAGAGCUGCCAGGACUGAGUCCCUGCCCAACUGGCCCCUCUCUUCCUUUCAUCUCUGUUUUUCUCCCAGAGGUCCAGGAACUCACCUUCUCCAGUUCUCUGAGCAGAAUGCGGACCAGUGCAGGGCUCUUACUAGGAUCUCGCUCGACCUUCUUGUGCAGGGACCACCUCCACAUGCCUGGGCCAGGAGAAAGGGGAGCCCAGCAUGGCCAGGGCAAUGCACCCAUACAGGAAAAAAGUACUGAAGAUACAUGGCCUACCACACUUUUGGAGCUUAGAGCAAGAACCGACAUUAAGAUGGGAGAGAUGGCUGAACAAGGUAGAAGCUAACUCUGUCCACGUGUCAUAAGCCGUGAGUACUCUGGGCUGGAAUUUCACUUAAGACCUUUCAGGCAUAAUGAAUUAGGAGGAGAGGAAGAGGGGUUCUGAGGGAUACAGUGUAUGCUUCUAUGGCUACUUUCCCCACAUCUAACGGUCCAAAUCCUGGUAUCGCCCUCUGCCCUAUCGCUCUAGUCCACAUUGGCUUCCAGCUGCUCAAAGCACUUCAAGCUGGUCGAUUUGAAUUUCAGCCUCUCAUGUCCUAUCCUAGGCUGACCAUUGUCCAUGCAUCAGUCCCAUUUCCUCUGAAUCAGGCACUAAGCUCUGUAAGGCCAGUCACUCCAUCCUCUGUUCUGGGAUCUUGCCCAGGUGCCAGAAGGGUGCCAGUGAAUUUGCAGGUAUGGAAGAUUCUGCACACAAAGAGUGAGAUGGGAGUGGAAAAGCCAAUCUGAUAGAGAAGGGAGUGAAGGGUAAGCCACCUGAGCAACCCACCCCUUACCCUGACAAAGGCAAUCCUCCUUUGGAAUGCCUCUUCCGCCUUCAGUCUGGGUUCUGCCUCAGCCAUGAAUUGGGAAGGAGUGAGGAGCAUCUCAACGCUAGUGAGAGUAUCCCAGUGGCCCCAAACAGGAGGAAUCGGUGUUCAGAGAGUAAGACACUAAGCUUCACUGAGCACCUACUGGGAGCUCCUCGCUGGGCUAGGUGCUUUGCAGACAAUGUAACCUUUUAAGGAUGUCGUAUUUCCAUCCCAACUCUCUACUCCAUUUUAGUGCUGGGGAAAUGGAGGCUCAAAGUUAAUUAACUUCCUCUGGGUAUUUAGCUAGAAUCGCAGGCACUGCUACUAAAUUUAAGCCUAGCCUGUAUUCCAAGAAUCUCAGAUCCUAAAAGAGGAUCAAGAGAGAAUCUGUGCCAGGUUCUGUAGUCAGAACUGUAGACAGGUCCAGUGUUAGUGCUGUUUUUCAGGAGACUUGGAACUUGAGAGAGAGAAAUCGUUAAGAGGUGUGUGUGUGUAUGUCUGGAGUGAGGAAGUGUAUGUUGGAAGUAGAAGUAAAGAAAUGUCUCAUCCACGUUUCUAUCACCUGAGCCCCAGAGAGGAGGGGACUGAACUCCAGACAUACAGGGUCCUCCAAGUCUUUGACAAAGUAAGGGGUAGGCUCAGCCAAAGUUGAGAGAAAAGGCCUAUGUCAUCCCUCUGAGCACCAGAGCCGCAUAUCUUCCUUUUAGAAAGGAUCCUAGACCAUGCUAGUGGUCAGGGACUUUGGAGGUCCAUUUACUCAUCCCUCUCCUUCUACUGUGAGGAAUCUGAGAGGCUGUGGUGUCUUGCCCUUCUCUCCCUAAUAUCUGCUCUUUCCCCAGAACACGGAGGCCCCAGAAACCCUCUACUCCUAGCCCCUGCUCGUGGUGGGACCCACAAUGGGACCCUGGCUCUGCACAGGGCCAUUCAGUUCUCCACAGAGAGGGACUGUUCCAGAGGGGUCACAGAGGAGGUUCCCAGGGCUACAGUCCAGUCUGGCACUGGGCCCCCACUAGGGCAGAGCUCCGCUGAAAGUCAUGAUGGGCAGGCAGAGAAGGGAGCAGAGAUCAGGUGUGGCCUGGGCCGAUAGGUCAAGGGGCCUCUGGGGUGGUGAGGAGAGGUCGCUCUUUUCCGGCUUGUAGCAGGGUGAGACCUCACACCUGUAGGGCAGAGUAGGGGCCAGGGAUCAGGGCUGCCCCUCAUCCCUCCACCUCCUUCCAGGCCUCUGGGUUGGUGGGAGCAGAAACUGCUCCCCUCCUUGGGACCCCCCCUUUCCUACCUGACUACACUCUGCAGGAUCUUUCUCUCAUCCUGGUCCAGGCACACAGCAAAGGGGCAGCUGUUGGAGCCAAUGAUUUGCACCUUGUCCACUUUGAUCUGCGAUGUGCUAAUCUGGAAAGAAGGCCCACGUCAGCCCUGAAGCUCUGGCCAGGCCGCACCGCCAGCCCUCAGCAGUUCCUUCCCUCAGAAUUGCCCAUCCACUUCUGGGGGUAUGAGAGAGCAGAGUUUGUCUGACUUCACUCUAGGGUUAAUGGCCAGGUUAGGGGAGGGAGACUGAGGCCUCCAUCAGUCCGUGCCUCCUCUCCAGCAUCUCAAAGAAGCAGGUGCCCCCUGAGGAGGCUCUGCCCUACCUGCUAUCUUCACCAGGAGAGCCCCAGGUUCCCUGAUGUGAAGCCUGCUUUCUUUGGCCUGUGGGUCUUAGGACUCUCCUGGCACCCACCCCACAACUUUUCCACAUACACAUGUCCUCUCAUGGGGUACCCCUCCCUCCCCAACACCCCACAACACUCCACACCUGUGCAUAUCCCCAAAUCACAUCCCUCAUUCACCUCUCCUUUCUCUCUCACACACACACCCAUGUGUGUACACACAUGCACAUACAUAUACACAUAUGCACCUGCAUGCUCUAGUAAAUCUCUUGAGGAUAUGGCUGGAAGGAUAGGGAAGCCCAUACCUGGUUAAAGCCCUUCUUGGAUUUGGAGUUCUGCCUUUUCACCACUUCUGUCAGGUUUAGCAUCAGGGCCUCCAUGCUGGAAUCUGAAGGGCAGGGGCACUCAGGCCAGGCUCAGAGCACCUCUCUGCCGUGUUCCCACCCUGCCCACUCCACUCACCCAGGUCCUCCUGCUUCCGGCAGGCCUUGUUGAGGUUCACAGAGGUACAGACCUUCUCCAGGUUGCUCCAGCGACUCCUUCCACUGAUGGCCCCCUGGAAAUGCAGCGUAGCCAGACCCUCUGAGUCCAGAGGCCCCCCUGAGCCUGCCCCCUUCUCUUUGAAGGCCCACCAGUGACAGGGCACUGACUCUAGUCAGCACAUCCUAGAAAGUGCUCUCUUAUUCACUGGGGCUCCUGUACCACCCUGGAUAGACCUGCAUGACCCCAGGGAGGAGCUCCGGUCACUGGCUUGGUCUAGGAGUCAGCAGCCUAAGUGACCGGGUUGAAAGGUACAAGAGCUGAGAGCUCCUGCAGGGGUGGUCUUGAGUUUCUCCUGCCGAGCCCAGAGUGAGGAAGGGAUAGGCACACAGGCAUGUUGUUUCUGGCAGAGCCACACCCGAACUCCCUCUUCAGGUCCUUGUGUGAAUGUCUCUGUCAUCAGGGACUUCCGGGUUGGUAAACCCAAGAACACUUCCUGGUCCUCAGCUUACUUGACCUAGUAGGUCACUACUCUCCCCUCCUUGAAAAUCUCUCCUGGGCUUUUGUGAUGGCACCCUCCUGGUGUCUGUCUGGCUGGUGCCUCUCUGUGUCAGGGCCACCACCUGCUGGGGUCUGUCCUGCAGACCCUGACUCAACAAAGGAUGAAUAGAUCCACUCAGACACAGAAUACAGUGAGAGAGGGCUGGGGUGUCCAUGGCCACUCACAGACACUUGAGGAGAGCACUGUAAAGAGAUAGCAGCUGCCAGCCACAGCACGCUGACCUCACCAGCCUUUAUUCAGCACACAUUAAAUGACAAAGGCUUUGAGUUAACACCACUAAAGGCCAGGUUCUGAGGCCUAAAGCAAACACCAUUAGUGGGUAAUAUCCCUGGUUGAGAGCCAUCCUGAAUGAGUAAGGGUUAGUUUAUGGGACCACAAGAAUAAACAAGUUAGUUAGGUAAACUCCUCAAAUUCCUUUGAUUCUACUCUAAUUUAUUUAACUAAGGCGACAAAGCUGCCUUAAGCCAAGUAUUAUAAUAAAAACCCUUAAGCCUUCCAAAGGGUUUGUGUAUAUUUUCUAAAACUAAAAUUCCUCCCACCAGCCUGACUGAAUCCCCACAUCUCUGCUUUGCUGGAUCACCACCCUCUGUCCACCAUUACAUCAUGAAGGGCUCAAGACUCUCCCCUUGGUCCUCUGCUCUUUGUAUUUCCUGCUUCCCCCUUCAGGAGUCUCCUUUAUGCCAUUUUUCCACUAGCAGCUGUCCACCCAUCUUCGUAUUCCCUGCAAAGUCAGACCUGUUCAGCCAGUUGCCUAUUCUCACUGUUUCCUUCAUCUCUCAGGGCCUCUCAACCUCAAUAAUAUAUCACAACCCAAACUCAGGAUCUUCUCCAACUGGACCUGGGCCUCUUCCUGUGGUCCCCACCUGAGAAGAUGGUACUGCCAGUCACAGAGGAGUUACUCCAGGAGUCUGGCCUCUCCUUUCCUAAUCCAUCCCUGAGCCCUGCUGAUUACAUUACUCUCAUAUGUCUCGCAUUCCUUUCCAGCUCUGCCACCACUACCCUAGUGCAGGCUGCUGCCUUCAUUUCUCUUCUGGACCAUGGCAAGAGCCUCCUAACUGGCCUUCCUGCAUCGCCUGGGGACCCUUCUGAUCUCUCCUCCACAGAGCUGCCAGAGGUAGCUCCUAAGCCUCAGAUCUGAUCAUGUCACAGGCAUUCUCACCCCCACCACAAACAUAAGCCCCCUUAAUGAAUAUCCACUGCUCUUAGGACCAGGAUAAAAUUCCUUUCAUUGCAAUCAAGGCUCUUAGUAUGCUGGUCCCCCCCAUUUCUUUAGCCUCACCUUGGCAUCAUGUUCCCACUGGCUAUCUGCUCCAGCAGGUGGGAUCUUCUUUUCACGUGCUUUGAGGUGUUCACACUCCCUCCCACCACAGGGCCUUUGCACAUGCAGUUCCUGCUGCCAUGAGAGCACUCACCUCUUCUAAUUAACUCCUGGUUUUCCUUCCAAUAUCAACUCAAUGUCCCUUCUCAAGGAAGCCUUCACUACUUCUCCUGUUCAAUUUGCCACUUAGGAACAUCCCAUGUCCCUCUCCUUCAUCCAUGUGUCACAGUUGUAAUUUUACAUCUUGUGCAUCAUCUAACCAAUGCCUACGACCCACUCCAGGGGUCUGUCCUUGAGGAACACUCAAGGGCCUAGAACAGUGCCUGGGCUGUGGAAGAUGUCUAGCAAGUACCUGGCACGUGGCUGCAGUGAGUGUCAGUUCCUCCUGCUCACCUCCUUACUGCCAAAUGCACUGCAGCCCCAACACCACCAUCCAUUCUGUUUUAUUGCCUUGUCACCACUCACUACUCUCUGAAAUUAUCUUGGCUAUUUCUUUGUUUUCUUGUUUCUUGUCUGUCUCCCUCCUCUAGACAAGCUAAAAUGAGGCCUAUCCUUCCUGCUUAACCCCUCUUCCCCACUGCCCAGCACAGAGGCGGCAUGAGCAGGUGCUAAAGGAUGUCUUUCAAAAGGCUGAAGGAAGAAAAGGAAGGAGCCCACCUGAGGCCAAGCUUUCCUCAACCUGGACCUUGGGAUGUGACCUGCUCAGAGAACUCAUGUCUUCUGGUCUGUCAUGGACAGCUCUCUGCCUCCCCACAACUCUCCUCCUUUCUCACACCAAUCUCACCGUGCAUGCAGCCUGCCAGGCACACUGGCCCCCUGUGAGACCCUGGCUUCUCUCAAGUGCCUCUGGAAGCCUUCCCUUGCCCCCUCUCAGCCCUAGCCCUGUAGCCAAGCCCAGCAGACUCCUACCCCUGGGCAGCUGCUAAGUGCAUUCAGGUGGGGGCAGAGGACAUGGUAGGAGAGAGGAUUUGGAGGCCAAGGGGCACAGAGAUAAUCACUCCCUCCCCUCUCUGCUUCUCUGAGCAUCCAGGGGAGCCUGCUGUGGCCUUCCAGCAUAAAGACUGGGCCCAGGCUCUGGGGGAAGAAGGAUCAGCAGCAGAUCCUGGAGGGGAAGGAGCCCCAGCACAGGUCUUACCUUGCUGUAAAUAAUCUGUAGUGUUAGAGGAACAGCCUCCCGGUCGUCAUCAAUGCCCAGCCGCUUGCUACCAGGACCUGUGCCAUACACAUACAGACCCUUUACUCCUUCUGGCUUCCCAGGCUCCUCACUAACGCAGUAGCCUGCCUCCCUGGGCCUUACCUCCCAUCCCUCACCACAGUGACCUUGACUCCCUAGGGAUCUGCCUCAUCAAGGCCCUGCCUCUCGCUGGCUCCACCUUCCUCCAGGGGGUUCCACCCCACCCCAGUGACCCUGUCACUCCAGGGCUGCAUCUCCUCUGUGACCACACCUUCUCAGGGUCCUGCCUCCCCAGGGCCCCGCCCCCUGUAACACCACCUUCCCAUGUCUCUGCCUCCCAGUAACACUGCCUCCCCAUGGCCCUGCCUCCUGGGUAACCCCACCUCCUUGUAGCCCUGCUUCCCAGGUAACCCCACCUCCCCAGAGCUCUGAGUCCCAGGCCCCACCUCCCCUCCCACCUGGGCUCAGGCAGUACCCACCCGAAGCCUUGAUGGCACGUGUGGCAGCCGAGUGACCCAGCUCCAAAGAGUGGAUGAAGAUCUCUGUCGUCUUCUCCCCAGUGAUGAAGGUCAGCUGGAGAGGAGAGGAGCAUGUACAUCAGUGUGAACCUCCUGGGAGCCUAUUUGGCCCUUCCAGUGUAGAGCUUCUGGCUGCCCAGGGGGCAGGUGGGGAAGAGGUGGCGCGGGGCAAGGCAGCCUUACCUCGGUCUGAUAGACUUGCAGCAGCACCGGCCUGGCGGCAAAGCGGCAGUAGUAGAGUAGCAUGUCGGCCAGGAUGGGCAACUGGGCAGGGGACCCCUCCAGGGUCUGGGCUUCAGCCUUCAGGGGCUGCUGUGGCCAGAGGGAAGGGGGGCCAUGUAAGGGGGGUAAGUGGAUAGAGGGCAGAAAGGAGCAAGAAUAAGUGAGGAAGAGAGAAGACAGACACAGAGACAGCUGGCCAGGAGGAAGCAGGGGAGGGCCGGCACCCAGCCUCCCUGCCCCUUGCCUGACCCACCAGCCUCCGGGGGAGGCUUCUGCUUAGCCAGACAAGGCCGGGCAUUGAGGAAGGGGGCUGAAAUCUGAGGUCCCCCGACCCUUCUGAUGGCCCUCCUCUGUCACUGCAGUGGCCCCAGCUCUUGCCCUCAGUAUCCUGAGUUCAGGCGCAGCCCUGCUUCUCACUCACAUUACCUGCCCUUUUCCAAGAGAGCCCAAGUACUGCAUGGAGGCCUUAAGCUGGAUUCCCUAAAUGAGGCCGGGUGACUACAGCCAGUGGGCCCUGUUCCCCAACCCCAGGGGCCACUUACCUGACACAAGACUUCAGGGGGAAGGUGCAUAAGGCCCAGCACAUUGCGCUCAUACCAGGGGUCCAGCAUGCCGAGGUAGUGGGAGAUGUUGUUGGUGCUCUCCUCCCAUGGGGCCGUGCCCAGCUCCUAGGGCAAGCAACAAGGGUCAUUCCCAGCUCCCCAGGAGGCCUGCCCAUCCUUGCUCCAGGGCUUUGGAUGGUACCUGCAGCUCCAAGCUGAGCUUCUCCCUGCCCUUGGGGAAGUAUGACAGUUUUCAGCCUUUGUCAUAUGGCAAUAUGUCAUGUCCAAGUGCAGGGAGUGGCCAGGCAGGGAGAGGUGUCUCAUCAAUACAAGGGAUUGCAUUCCGUGACUUCCAAUUGACUUCCUUCAGGUAGCCAGAACUCUUUCCCACCCCACUGGCCCAGGGCUGGGAACGUACUCCAAGGCUGGAGUGCCUAGGGCAGUCUGUCGGGGGUGAGGGUGUCUGGCUCCGAGGGGGUGGACAGGCACCAGGGCUGGUUCCGUGGCUUCGCUUCACAGGCACGUAGAAGAACUGAAGUUUGAAGAACCGUGUGAGGAGUGGGCGAUUGUUCUCCAGCCGCCUGGUAAGAAGAAGAUGGUGAGAAGGGGGCCAGGCAUGGUGGCCUCAUGCCUGAAAUCCAGCACUUUGGGAGGCCGGAGUGGGUGGCUACGCCUGUAAUCCCAGCACUUUGGGAGGCUGUGGUGGGUGGAUCACAAGGUCAGGAGUUUGAGACCAGCCUGGGCAACAUGGUGAAAGUCUGUCUCUACUAAAAAUACAAAAAUUAGCUGGGCAUGGUGGCAUGCCUGUAGUCCUAGCUACUCAGGAGGCUGAGGCAGCUGAAUCGCUUGAACCCAGGAGGCAGACGCUGCAGUGAACCAAGAUUGUGCCACUGCACUCCAGCCUGGGCAACAGAGCAAGACUGUCUCAAAAAAAAGAGAAAGAGAAAGGAACUUUUGGUUCCUCUGGGGUCCUGAACCUCAGGCCCCAGAUUCCACCAGCACAACAACACUGUUACCCAGGGCAGAGCAAUGCCCCCGAUUAUGGCUCUUACCGAAGGUUGCUGUACGCCCGAGCAACCUUCCCUGAAAUCCGAUCUGAGCCAAAGACAACAACACGUAGUGUGGAAGCCUUGGGAUCCUCAUCUCCACUCAGGAAGGGGCGGCGGCGCUGGUGGCGUGAAGCAGGGGCCAGAAGCCAGCUGGGCAGCUGGGUACCAAGUUUGGGCUGGGGCAGGGAGCGAGAGCGCUGUGCCCGGGAAGGAGGUGCUGCUGGUUCAUCCAGGGGGCUGCAGAGGCUCCCUGCCCGCCGCAGGGGCAGGGCUGUGUCCGGGCUGCCCUCCAGGCUCCGAGAGUCCCUCCGAAGUACCAGCUGGCUGGUGCUCUUGAAGAGUUUAUAGAUCCUGUUGAACUUCUGCCCAGGCCUGCAGUGGCUGCGGUGUUCCUGGCUGCUACGCCUCCUGGGCCACUCGGAGGAGCUCUCCUCGCUGUCCUCCACAUAGCCGCUGUCCAUGCCAUCCGAGAGGCCUGAGACAAAGGAGAGUUGUAGAGAGGAGGUUUCCCAGGCUCCUCUGGGGCAAGAUGUGGCCACGUGACCAAGGCAGGCUCAGAGGAACAGGUGGGGAAGUGAUGUGCCCAGUUUCUACAUCACCUUCAGCAGAAAAGCCCAGGCUUUGGCCUUACGUGUGCUAAGCACCACCAUGUGCAGGACGAGCCCAGCAGAGCCACUGCCCUCACCAGCUCGCAUAAUUUCUCUGCGGAAGAGCUUAUCAUCACUCUCAAUUUAUAGAUAAUGAAAAUGAGAUGCAAUCCUUGAGGUUUGUGUGCUCUGAAAAUUGCAGAGCUGUUUGCACGUAAGAUGCCCCGUGUCAUCCCCCAGGUUGACAGAUAAAUUCUUUGCAGGAAAGUAUUGUGGUUGGCACAGCUAUGCAGGCAUAGAGUAAAUAUUCAAUAAACAUGUGGGCUGAGCCCAAGAGGGCUGUGGUGGGCAGGACCCUGUGGCACUGACGUGAGGUUUCCUGCCACCCCUGGCGUUGAGGCAGUGGGUGAUUGUAUGGAGGUGGAGUCAGGAAGCAGGGGGAGGCCCCCAGCCUUGAUAACAGGCCCACUUCCUCUGCUACCCAGCCACAUCAAAGCAGGAUAAACUGUUUCAUUCAUUCCCAUGGCAACUGGAUCCCUAAGACUUCACGGUGGAGGGCUCCCCCCGCAUCUCUUCUCAUUUCUACCUGUGACUUUACCAGGACCUACCUAUCUAAGCUAACACCACUGCAGCCCUUACUGCCCCCAGCAUGGUGAAAUCAAUUAGGCCAACAUUAAUACUCACUAACUGCAUUGACUGGGAGGCAUUGCUAUAUACCCAUUUUACAGAUGAGGAAACUGAAGCUCACAAUCUAAAUGUCUUGCUGAAGGCCCACAAUUAGUGAACAGCAGACCCAGGAUUUGAAAGCACAAUGGUCUGGUCCCAAGGACUAGUAGUCACUAAGUUAUUCUGCCUCUCCUUCAAGCAUUCAAGUUCCCUGGCCUCCAUUCUAGCCCUCUCUCCACUUAACUGGGGGUGGGAGGGACUCAGGAAUUGGGCAAAAAGAUUACCACAUGCCUGUUAAAAAUCACACAAGAGCAUUUUUCAACAAGCUGCAGGCUUCACAUUUUAUCAUUCCAGGGUUUGGGCCUCACCAUCGCCUGCCCCUGUAUGCCACAUCUGCUUUCUGGGCUGCCCAGAACAGAGUUUCUACCCAGCCACCUGCAAAAACAUCUCAAGGCAUAGCGUGCAUUGAGCUGAGGAGAGGCAGCUGGUUCUACUGAAAUUGGGAAGUGGUCUCCCCACAGGUAAUCCCCUCCCCCAACCUCACAACUCCCUUAUCCUUUUCAAAACAAAAAAAGAAUCAUUUAGGUCUUUGGUAUAAACCCAAGGCCCUGCCAGGACAUUUGGAUUUUAAAUUCUUUCUCUGAGCAUUGUAGAAAGGAAAGAAAGCAUUGCCUCCUACCAAAGGAACUCCAGUCACCAGCAAGCUCAGAAGAGAUCCAGGUCUGUUUGUUUUGGGAGGGAGUGAGGGAGGGAAUGAAGGAGUUUGACUUUAAACUGGCUUGUUCCUUUAGGGUUUGUUCCUUUCCUUGGGAAGCUGAGUUGGCAGAUGCCUUUCGCGCCUCCUAAGGGUCUUCCUGAUGUCCUAAAUCUCCACCCAAGUCUCUACUAUCAGAUUCAACCAUCAGAUGCUUGACCAUGUCAUGAAGAAGAGCCUCCAAGGUUGUGAACCAAGGCAUGGGCAGAGAUGAACCAAAGGAUACAAGACUGAUGCAUCACAUUCACUGAGAUGGAGAAGUUUGUGGAGAGGAUAAUUUGGGAGUGGAAAACAAGAGUCCUUCUUUGUCUGAGUUCUAUCCCCAUCUGACCCCAGUGGAGAGGUCUGGGCUACAGCUCUCUAUUUGGGAGUUCACGUGGUACCAUGGUCACUGAGGCUAUGAACCAUGUGAAGAGAGAAGCGUGGGGAGAACACCUCCAGUGUUAAGAGGUGGAAGAAUCACCAAAGGAACACUGAGAAGAUGCAGCUCAUGAACAGGAAGAGAACACGAUGUCCCAGGAUCCAAAACAAGCGUGUUUCAAGGAGGGAAUGGGGAAUACUGUUGCAAGAUCUACAACAUGAGGGCAGAGAAGUGGCCACUGAAUCUGGUGAUGUGGAGAGUUUGGGUGACCAUGAAGGAAAAAGUGCAGGGAGAAGACCAAACGGAAUGGGCUGAAGAGAGAGAAGAAGUGACAGAGAGGCAACUCCUUUGGGAAACUUUGCUCAGAAGACUUGGGUUUAUGAGAUGCCCCAGAAUCCUUCUGUUAAGUUCCUUUUUGUUUUUCUUUACCUAGCACAAGUUCAUUCACUGUCAUAGUGACCAAAAGAACCCUAAGGGGCUUCCAGUUUGAAAAAAAAAAAAGUCUCAAUCUAUGUCAAAAGAAAAACUCCCUGUAUUAGUCAAUUUUCCUGCUGCUGCUAAAGACAUACUUGAGACUGGUGCGGAGAAAAGAGGUUUAAUUGGACUUGCAGUUCCACAUGGCUGGGGAGGCCUCAGAAUCACGGCAGAAGGCAGAAGGCAUGUCUUACAAGGCAGUGGCCAGAGAAAAAUGAGGAAGAUGCAAAAGCAAAAACCCAAUAGAACCAUCAGUUCUUGUGAGACUUACUAUCUUGAGAACAGUAUGGGGGAAACCACCCCAUGAUUCAAAUUGUGUCCCACCAGGUCUCCCCACCACAACAUGGGAAUUAUGGGAGUACAAUUCAGGAUGAGAUUUGGGUGGAGACACAGAGCCAAACCAUACCAUUCUGCUCUGACCCCUCCAAAUCUCAUGUCCUCACGUUUUGAAACCAAACAUGCCUUCCCAACAGUCCCCCAAAGUCUUAACUCAUUUCAGAUUUUAUUCAAAAGUCCACACUUCAAAGUCUUAUCUGAGACAAGGCAAGUCCCUUCCACCUAUGAGCCAGUAAAAUCAAAAGCAAGUCAGUUACUUACUAGAUACAAUGAGGGUACAGUCAUUGGGUAAAUACAGCGAUUCCAAAUGGGGGAAAUUGGCCAAAACAAAGAGGCUACAGGUCCCGUGCAAGUCCAAAAUCCAGCAGGGCAGUCAAAUCUUAAAGCUCCAAAAUGAUCCUCUUUGAUACCAUGCCUCACAACUGGGUCACACUGAUGCAAGAGGUAGGCUCCCAUGGUCUUGGGCAGCUCUGCCCCUGUGGCUUUGCAGGGUACAGACUCCCUCCCAGCUGCUUUCAUGGGAUGGUGUUGAGUGUCUACAGCUUUUCCAGGCACACAGGGCAAACUGUUGGUGGAUCUACCAUUCUGGGGUCUGGAGGACACUGGCCCUCUUCUCACAGGUCCACCAGGCAGUGCCCCUGCAGGGACUCUGUUUGGGGACUCCAACCCCACAUUUCCCUUCUGCACUGCCCUAGCAGAGGUUCCCCAUGAGAACCCUGCCCCUGCAGCAAACUUCUGCCUGAGCAUCCAGGAUUUCCAUACAUCUUCUGAAAUCUAGGCGGACAUUCCCAAACUGACAAACGGGUACAAAGAAUCUCUCUUUAUUAUUUCAUAGAACUACAUAUGAAUCUACAAUUUAUCUCAAUAUUUAACAGUCUAAUUAAGAAAGCAAAAUUAAAAGCCUUGUACAAAUAAGUUUAAAAUGUUAAAAGAUAAGCUUUAAAACUACCUAGAAUAACCACUGCCAACAUUGUGAUCUUUAUCCUUCUAAAAACUUUAUUUUUUGAAAUCCCACAGAUCAUAUUCAGAUAUAUUUAUCUCAUAAAAGAGGUGCUAUUUGAGAGUCCACUCCAAAGAAGGGGUAUUUUCACCAUCAGAUGUGAAGGAAUAAUUGGCACUGGACUAAGCCUCUCUCCAUGAACAAUUGUAAGACGAGCCAAAAGAGUUGAAGCAACUGUUUGUAUACACUGGACAACAGGCAAGCACAGGUCUGUAAUCCCUCAGAGAAGGUAAAUAUACAAGAUGAGCCUCUUGAUUUUCCUGGCUUUCUGCUGGAAGGCCCUUCCACAGUUUAAAGCAUAGAGGUAGAAUCCAAGCAGAGUAAAGAGGGCUUUCUGAGUUGAGGAGCCAGAAAUUGGGGUUUGGGGUCUAGAAAUGGCUGGAAUAUGUGGGGCAAGAAACUGGAAAAGAGGGAAAUGUGAAAAAGAAGAGGUCAAGAAGACCUUAGCUGAAUACUAAGCUGUGCAUGCAGGGUAAGACCUUGUGAAGCCUGGCAGAAACAGCUACUGGAAAGCCUGGAGUUAAGCAGAGGUUCUAGAAGUUGCACAAUGCUGGGAGACAUUGAAUUUCCAAUCAGCCAGGGUGGAGGAACAUCACUGAAUACCUCAGGCAUUCAACUGAGAUCCUAGAAAGGCAAUGCUUGUCAUCUAGACAUCCAUUAAGUUUUAAGAAACACGAAGGGAUCCUGCUUAUCUCCUAUAAAUUAAGUGCCUGCCAGAAUACAAUUCUUUAAAGAAAAACAUGAAAAUCCAGACUCUCAACAAUGUGGCAUCCAUAAUGCCUAGAAUACAUUUAAAAAUUACUAGACAGAGGCUGGGCGCAGUGGCUCACACCUGUAAUCCCAGCGCUUUGGGAGACAGAGGUGGGUGGAUCACGAGGUCAAGAGAUUGAGACCAUCCUGGCCAAUAUGGUGAAACCCCAUCUCUACUAAAAAACACAAAAAUUAACUGGGCAUGGUGGCACAUGCCUGUAGUCCCAGCUACUCAGGAAGCUGAGGCAUGAGGAUUGCUUGAACCCAGGAGGCGGAGAUUGCAGUGAGCUGAGAUUGCACCACUGCACUCCAGCCUGGCACCUGGUGACAGAACAAGACUCUGUCUCAAAAAAAAAAUUACUAGACAGAUGAAGAAGAAGAAAAAUGCAGUUCAUUACUAGGGAUGUAAUUCAAUAAAAUAAACUCAAAGACAGUAUGUAUGUUGAAAUUAGGAGGCAAAGACUUUAAAACAUCUAUUAUAAAUAUGUUCAAAGAUUUCAAGGAAAAAUGGAGAGAGCAAGUUAAAUCUCAGUAGGGACCUGGAAACUUCUUUUUUUCUUGAGAUGGAGUCUCACUGUGCUGCCCAGGCUGGAGUGCAGUGGCAUGAUCUCGACUCACUAAACUCUUCGCAUCCCAGGUUCAAGCAAUUCUCCUGCCUCAGCCUCCCAAUUAGCUGGCAUUACAGGCAUACACCACCAUGCCCGGCUAAUUUUUAUGUUUUUAGUCAUGACAGGGUAUCACCAUGUGGGCUAGUCUGGUCUUGAACUCCUGACCUCAGAUGAUCUGCCCGCCUCGGUCUCCCAAAGUGCUGGGAUUAUAGGUGUGAACCACUGCACCCAGCCUGGGAGCUAUUUUUAAAAGAACCAAGUGGAAAUCUAUUUCCAAAUGGAAACACAACCUCUGAAAAGAAAAAUUAAUUGGAUGGACUGAAUAAAAGAUCUGACACUGCAAAACUAAGAUCAGUGAAACUAAAGCUAUAGAAACCAUUCAAACUAAAACACAAAAAAUAAACAAGAUUUCAAAAUAUGAACAGAGUCUCAAUGACCUCUGGGCACAAUCAAAAGUUCUGAUAGAUAUGUAAAUAAUGUCUCAAAAAGAGAGAAGAAAGAAAAUGAGGGCAGAAAAAAUAUUUUAAGAAAUAAUGGCCAAAAUGUUCCCAAGUUUAAUAAAAAAUAUCAACCCAUAGAUCUGGGAAAAACCCAAGAAGGAUACGUGCAAAGAAAACCACCAGCCUGCCCAGCAUGGUGAAACCCCAUCUCUACUAAAAAUACAAAAAAUUAGCCAGACGUGAUGGUGGGCGCCUGUAAUCCCAGCUACUCAGGAGGCUGAGGCAGGAGAAUCGCUUGAACUUGGGAGGUGGAGGUUGCAAUGAGCCAAGAUCGCACCACUGCACUCAAGGCUGGUCAACAAGAGCGAAACUCUGUCAAAAAAAAAAAAAAAAAGGAAAAGGAAAAAAAAACCCACACGUAGGGACAUCAUAGUUAAUUGCUGAAAAUCAAAGAUAAAGAGAAAAUCUCAAAAAGCAGCCAGAAAAAAAAAGACACAUUGUAUGUAGAAAACAACAAUUAGAAAACCUACUGACUUCUUAGAAACAAUGCAAGUUAGGAUACAGUGAUAUCAUCUUUAUAGGGCUUUAAAAACAAAACAAGCUGGCACAGUGGCUCACUCCUGUAAUCCCAGCACUUUGAGAGGCCGAGGCGGGUGGAUCACAAGGUCAGGAAUUUGGGACCAGCCUGGCCAACACGGUGAAACCCUGUCUCUACUAAAAAUACAAUCCCAGCUAUUCGGGAGGCUAAGGCAGGAGAAUCGCUUGAACCUGGGAGGCAGAGGUUGCAGUAAGCAGAGAUAACCCCACUGUCCUCCAGCCUGGGGCACAGAGCAAGACUCCAUCUCAAAAAAACUGAACCAAAACAAAACAAAAAGGGACUUUCAACCUAAAAUUCUAUCUCCAGUGAAAAUAUUCUUCAAACACGAAAAUUAGAAAACUUAAUGGUGUGACUGAAAUGUUUUAUAUAUUGUUAGAUCUGUGGGUGACAUGGGUGUAUACAUUUGUCAAAAUCAUACAGUUAAAUUUUUUAAAUUUUGGCCGGACACGGUGGCUCACGCCUGUAAUCCCAGCACUUUGGGAGGCCAAGGCAGGUGGAUCACCUGAGGUUGGGUGUUUAAGAUCAGCCUGACCAACGUGGAGAAAUCCCGUCUCUUACUAAAAAUACAAAAUUAGCCAGGGGUGGUGGUGUAUGCCUGUAAUCCCAGCUACCUAGGAGGCUGAGACAGGAGAAUUGCUUGAACUCAGGAGGCAGAGGUUGCGGUGAGGAGAUCACGCCAUUAUUGCACUCCAGCCUGGGCAACGAGAGCAAAACUCUGUCUCAAAAAAAAAAAAUUACAUUUUAUAGUUUGCAAAUUUUUCAUGAAAAGAACUAUAAAAAUAAUCAAAGGGAAGUGAAGAAAGUUAUAGGUAAAACAUUAUUUUUAAAUAAUGAAGAUAAAGACAUUCGAAGGCAAAAAGAUGUUGAAAAGAUGGUUACCAGCAGAUGUGUAUUACUAAAAAUAUUUUGAAAUAGAGUCUUGCUCUGUUGCCCAGGCUGGAGUGCAGUGGUAUGAUCUCAGCUCAUUGAUACCUGUACCUCCUGGGUUCAAGUGAUUCUCCUGCCUCAGCCUCCCAAACAGCUGAGACUACAGGCACGUGCCAUCACACUUGGCUAAUUUUUGUAUUUUUAGUAGAGACGAGGUUUCCCCAUAUUGGUCAGUCUGGUUAAAAAUGUUUUUUAAAUAGCUAUUCUAUCAGACCUUUAAGAAAGAAAUAAUAUCAAUCUUACUCAAAUUCUUUCAUAAAAUAGAGGAGGAGGAAACACUUCCCAAUUCAUUGAUGAAACCAGCAUAAUCCUGAUGUCAAAAUUAGAUAAUAACGUGACAAAGAAAGAAUAAAACAGAUCAAUAUAUCCCAUUUUACAUUUCAAGAUGCAAAAAUUCUGAACAAAAUAAUUAAAAAUGAAGUCUAGAUAUAUACAAAUAUAAUUCUUUCUAAAAUAAGUAAAAAUAUUUAAAAAGACCAAAUGGGACUUAUCCACUUGGAAUGCUAUACUUGGAAAGUUGUUUUAAUGUGCAAAAAUUAAUGUAGUUCACCACAUUAAUAAAAAAGAGGGGAAAAAAAUCACAUAACCACAUACAAAAAACAUUUGAAGAAACUCAACCCUUGUUUAUAAGAACUCUCGGUAAGAGGGAACUCCUCAAACUGAUAAAAGCAUCUAUGAAAAAUCUGUAGUUAACAUCAUACUUAAACGUGAAAACUGAACGAACACUUUUCACCUACUAUUGGGAACAAAGCAAGGACAUCUGUUGUCACCACUUCCAUUCAACAUUGUACUGGAGGUCACAGCCUGCCAUAAGGCAAAGCAAAAACACAUACACAUAAGGCAGGAAGAAGCAAUGCUUUCUUUAUUCUCAGAUGACAUGACUGUAUAUGUAGAAAAUCCUAAAGAAUCUAUUAAAAACGACCAUAAGUGAAUUUAUCAAGGUUACAGAAUACAAAGUCAGUAUUUAAAAAUCAAUUGUACUUUUUUUUUUUCUUUUGAGAUGGAAUCUCGCUCUGUGGCCCAGGCUGGAAUGCAAUGGCAUGGUCUUAGCUCACUGCAACCUCCGCCUCCUGGGUUCAAGCGAUUCUCCUGCCUCAGCCUCUCAAGUAGCUGGGACUACAGGCGCAUGCCACCAUGCCCAGCAAAUUUUUUGUAUUUUUAGUAGAGAUGGGGUUUUACCAUGUCAGCCAGGAUGGUCUCGAACUCCUGACCUCACGAUCUGCCCACCUCGGCCUCCCAAAGUGCUGGGAUUACAGGCAUGAGUCAAUUGUACUUCUAUAUGUUAAUAACUACCAAUUAGAAAGUGAAGUUUUUAGAAACACCAUUUAUAACAGCAUCAAAAAACCAAAAUUCUAAGGGAUAAAUUUACCAAAGAAUGUCCAAAAUCCCCAUGUACAAGACAUUGCUAAGAUUAAAUUACAUUAAAACUACAAGACAUUGCUAAGAUAGAUCAAAGAAUAAGUGGAGAGAGAUAGGCCAUAUUUAUGAGUCAGAAGACUCAAUAUGGAUAAUAUGUCAGUUUUCCUCCAAGUUGAUAUAUGGAUUCAAUGCGGUCAUAGUCAAUAGCUCAGCAAACUUUUAAAAGUAGAAAUGGAUAAACAUUUUAAAAUGUAUGUGGAAAUACCAAAGACUUAAAAUAGCUAACGCAGUUUGGGAAAAGGAUGGCUGGACGACUCAUUCUAUCUCACGUCAAGAUUUGCUCCAAAGCUACAGUAAUCAAGACAAUCGGUACUGACGCCUGAAGCACAAGUGGCUCAGUGUAUCAACGCAAAAGUCAUAUCAUGGGUUUCUGUUUAACAUAAGUAGAACCACAGCACACAUGUUGUUCUAUGCACAGUUGUCUCUGAGAAAGCAUAUCUGAUUACACCAUUCUCUCCCAGCCCUCCAAAACCUUUCCUACGGGUUUUUACUGCUUUCAGUCAAAGCUCAAGCCCCUAACAUGGGUCACUAGACCCCAAGAGGUGAGUGCCCUUCUUCCUUGGCCAGUCUCAUACCUUUACCUUUCCCUUCCAUGAUAAACUUCUUCCUGCAUAUGCUGCCUCUGUCUGAAACAUUUCCCCACCUUUUCCUGCUUCUAAUGUGGAUGCUAAUAUGCGUUCUUCUGUCUUCCAUUUCUAGGUCACUUCUUCAGGGAAGACUUUCUGACCCUCGGGCUAGGCUGGAUGCUCACCCACACCCUUUCAGCUCCCAGAGCCUCUCUGCUUCCACUGUGCCUGCAUUAUUACUAUGCCUAUUCCCUCGACUGGGCUUUCAGCUCUGACGUCAGUUUCCCCAUCUACCAUAAUGGUUCUAACCCCAGUGCCUGGCACAGGGUCUAGGUACAUUCUCCCUGGAAAGUUUCACGAGUGAGCAAACCAAAGCCCUACCCAAAUAUGUGCCCAUGAUGUUAUGACCGUAUGAGCAAUAGGGGAUAUUCCUCAGGCUUCAAGGGGAAAUCACGUCUAUUGCAAGGUCGCAGUGAGUCAACCCUCGGAGGUGUUGAAUGAGUCGUUUCUGGCCACCCACAGUGUGGGCAGGUUGCCCAGCAGACCUGCUUCCUUCCGUGUUUCCUCUGCCAGAGGCCAAAGGAAGACAUGCAGGUCAGAACCCAGGCUUCCUGGGAGCUGUUCCUAAGACCUCAGAAUACAAAUGCAGGAGAAUUGAUAUUUCUAUUAAUUUAUUUAUUUCUGUACAUUAUGCCCUCCCCUCAUGCUAUCCCCAUGCUAACCCAGAAGGCAACCACCUUGAGGAAGGUUUGUGGUAGGAAAAUGAACAGCUUGGAGCUCCUGGACAGCUCCUGGCAGGAUGGGGCUCAGCAUUGGAGUUCAAUCAAUUUUAGAAACAAGUGGUUAUUUCUUUUUCUUUUAUAGACUUUAAUUCUUAAAGGAGUUUUAUGUUUAUAGAAAUAUUAAACAGAAAGUACAGAGAGUUCCUACAAACUCCCUCUCCUCCCCCUCCCACCCACGGUUUCCUCUAUUAUUAAUAUCUUCCAUUAGUGUAGAACAUUCGUUACAACUGAUAAUAUUGAUACAACAGUAUUAACUGAAGUCCACAGUAUGCGCUCUUUGUGUUGUACAAUUCUAUGGGUUUCUCCAGAUAUAUAAUGUCAAUACACGUUACAGUGUCACAGAAUAUUUCCACUGCUCAAAAAAAUCCCCUAUACUCCAUGUAUUCAUCCUACUCCAGGCAACAUCUGGCAGCCCUCUUUUCUAGGCAAAUUAUUCAUGCUCUAUAAUUCCAUCACAUAGCUGGUAUUAUACAGCAUGUAGUUUUUUUCAGAUUGGCAUCUUUCAUUUAGCAAUAUGCAUGUACUCAAGGUUCUACCAUGUUUUUUCAUGACUUGAUAGCUUAUUUCUUUUUCCAACUAAAUAAUAUUCCAUUGUAUGGAUGUGCCUUUAUAGUAAGUCUUAUAAAUAAGUCUUGUUAGUAAGUCUUAGUAAAUUAGUAACGUCAGCCUUCUGCCUUUGCUCUUCUUCAAGAUUGUGUUGUCUAUUCGAGGUCUUUUUCUUUUCAUGUAAGUGUUAGAAUAAGUUUGUCAAUAUUCAAAAAGUAAUUUAUUGGCGUCUUGAUUGAGAUUGUAUCAUGUCUAUAAAGCUGGGAGAACUAACGCCUUAACAAUAGUGAGUCUUCCUAUCCAUGAACAUGGAAUACCUCGCCAUUUGUUUAGAUUUUUGUAGAUUUUUUCAUCACUUUUGUUUUCUCAUAUAAAUUUUGUACAUAUUGUGUUAGACUCAUACUUCAUUAUUUCAUUUUUUGGUGCUAAUGUAAAUGGUAUUGUAUUUUUAAUUUCAAAUUCCAAUUGUUCACAGCUGGUAUAUAGGCAAGCACUUGACUUUUGUGUAUUAAUCUUGCAUUCUGCAACCUUACUAUAAUUGCUUAGUUCUAGGAAUGUUGUUUUUUGUCAUGGUUGAGUCUUUGGGAUUUUAUACAUAAACAAUCAUGUUAUUGAUGAACAAAAACUUCCUUCCUAAUCUGUAUACUUCUCAUGUCCUUGUGUUACAUUUUUGCGUUAGGUAGGACUUCCAGUAUGAUGUUAAAUAUGAGUGGUCAGUGAAGACAUCUUUGCAUUGGUCCCAGUCUUAAUGGGAAAGCAUCUAGUUUCUCAUCAUAAUGUUAGCUAUAAGUUUUUUGUAUACGUAUUUUAUCAAGUUGAAGAAGUUCCUAUUUCUAGUGUGCUGAGAAUUUUUAUCAUAAAUGAGUAUUGGAUCUUGUCAAAUGUUUCUUCUGUGUCUAUUUUUAUGAUUUUUCUUCUUCAGCCUAUUGAUAGAGUGGACUACAUUAACUGGCUUUCAAAUAUUGAAUCAGCCUUUCAUAUCCAGAAUAAAUCCCUCUUGGUUGUGAUCUAUAAUUCUUUUCAUAUAUUGUUGGAUUCAAUUUGCUAAUGUUUUGUUGAGGAUUUUCACAUCUAUAUUCAUGAAAUAUAUUGAUCUGUAGUUUUC
Callithrix jacchus (white-tufted-ear marmoset) is the source of this 20656-nucleotide non-coding RNA. The record is from RefSeq and is a predicted model, not a curated record. Lineage: Eukaryota; Metazoa; Chordata; Mammalia; Primates; Cebidae.